CGGGAUGUGGCGCAGCCUGGUAGCGUACUCGUCUGGGGGGCGAGGGGUCGCAAGUUCAAAUCUUGUCAUCCCGACCA
RNAcentral lists this transfer RNA (77 nucleotides) under Bacteroidetes bacterium HGW-Bacteroidetes-2. Its description in RNAcentral is "tRNA-Pro". It matches the Rfam family "tRNA". From Rfam's summary of the family: Transfer RNA (tRNA) molecules are approximately 80 nucleotides in length. Their secondary structure includes four short double-helical elements and three loops (D, anti-codon, and T loops). Further hydrogen bonds mediate the characteristic L-shaped molecular structure. tRNAs have two regions of fundamental functional importance: the anti-codon, which is responsible for specific mRNA codon recognition, and the 3' end, to which the tRNAs corresponding amino acid is attached (by aminoacyl-tRNA synthetases). tRNAs cope with the degeneracy of the genetic code in two manners: having more than one tRNA (with a specific anti-codon) for a particular amino acid; and 'wobble' base-pairing, i.e. permitting non-standard base-pairing at the 3rd anti-codon position. RNAcentral also lists the same sequence under 1 other name. The record is from RNAcentral. Lineage: Bacteria; Pseudomonadati; Bacteroidota.